This 18-nucleotide ribosomal RNA is filed under the name uncultured Glomus. RNAcentral's name for it is "partial 28S ribosomal RNA". The record is from RNAcentral. Lineage: Eukaryota; Fungi; Glomeromycota; Glomeromycetes; Glomerales; Glomeraceae.
AAUGACCUCAAAUCAGGC